AUGGAGUUCCUGAUGCAACCUAUAGACGGAUCUAACUCCCUGGAGGAAGUUGGGGAGAGUUUGGUGCCGGCACCGGAGCGGGCGGAUGCGGUCGAUGUGAAGAUGGUGGCGGCGCAGGUGACGGAAGGACAUCAGUUGGCGGUUGAGGUUCCGCCGGCAGCUACAGGGGAGGCGCAGAUGUUGAUGCUCAGUGAAGGAGCGAAGGAGAGGAGGGACGUGUCUCCACCAAGCUCGGAGCUAUCUACUGGGAAGAUGAACCCACGAGCUCCUGGAUGGAAUAAGAGGUUGAGGAUCGGUGCCGCUGCACCAAGUCGGCCGCCUUGCCCAAACCGUGUCACUGCAUUUGAGAAGGUUGUUCGAAACUAUGCUGAGAAUCCAGGAGACAAUGUGAUCACACCGACUAUUGGCACGACCUUUGAUUCUGUAGGAGAGGCGUAUGACUUUUACAAUUUGUAUUCAUGGGAAAAGGGGUUUGGUAUCAGAUAUGGCAAGAGUCGGCUAAAUGUAGAGAGGAUUAAAUGCAUGCAAGAAAUCGUCUGUGGUUGCUCGGGAAAAGCUGGGGUUGAGAAUACAAGAUCUUGCCGCUGCGAAUGCCAAGCUUUAAUAAGGCUCCUACGGGCAGAAGAUAAUGGAUGGUAUAUUGCAUAG
Molecule: ribosomal RNA, 648 nt
Filed under: Triticum aestivum (bread wheat)
Lineage: Eukaryota; Viridiplantae; Streptophyta; Magnoliopsida; Poales; Poaceae
Description: partial small subunit ribosomal RNA
Source: RNAcentral